This 253-nucleotide ribosomal RNA is filed under the name uncultured bacterium. RNAcentral describes it as "partial 16S ribosomal RNA". It matches the Rfam family "Bacterial small subunit ribosomal RNA", at positions 524 to 776 of the family's 1533-position model. The record is from RNAcentral.
UACGAAGGUGGCAAGCGUUACUCGGAAUUACUAGGCGUAAAGGGCAGGUAGGUGGUUCGGUAAGUCUGUUGUGUAAGCUCCCGGCUUAACUGGGAGAGGUCAACGGAAACUACCGGACUUGAGUAUAGGAGAGGUUACUGGAAUUCCCGGUGUAGCGGUGGAAUGCGCAGAGAUCGGGAGGAACACCAAUGGCGAAAGCAGGUAACUGGACUAUUGCUGACACUCAGCUGCGAAAGCUAGGGGAGCAAACAGG